This 429-nucleotide ribosomal RNA is filed under the name uncultured bacterium. RNAcentral's name for it is "bacterial SSU rRNA". It matches the Rfam family "Bacterial small subunit ribosomal RNA", at positions 30 to 459 of the family's 1533-position model. The record is from RNAcentral.
AUUGAACGCUGGCGGCAUGCCUUACACAUGCAAGUCGAACGGCAGCACGGGGCAACCUGGUGGCGAGUGGCGAACGGGUGAGUAAUGCAUCGGAACGUGCCAUUGAGUGGGGGAUAACGUAGCGAAAGUUGCGCUAAUACCGCAUAUUCUGUGAGCAGGAAAGCAGGGGACCGGCAAGGCCUUGCGCUCUUUGAGCGGCCGAUGUCAGAUUAGCUAGUUGGUGAGGUAAAGGCUUACCAAGGCGACGAUCUGUAGCGGGUCUGAGAGGAUGAUCAGCCACACUGGAACUGAGACACGGGUCCAGACUCCUACGGGAGGCAGCAGUGGGGAAUCUUGGACAAUGGGCGCAAGCCUGAUCCAGCCAUGCCGCGUGAGUGACGAAGGCCUUAGGGUUGUAAAGCUCUUUUCAGUGGGGGAAGAUAAUGACUG